Molecule: long non-coding RNA, 987 nt
Organism: Halichondria panicea
Lineage: Eukaryota; Metazoa; Porifera; Demospongiae; Suberitida; Halichondriidae
Exons: 3
Source: RefSeq, a predicted model, not a curated record
UGUUAAUGAGAUACCCGUAAAUGUAUAUAAACAAACCGUAUACUUCGCCGUAGAUUAUUAUUGAAUUUGUUGAGGUUGCAGUAGCCUCGAGACCAGGCCGAUUAUCGAGGCUACGAUUGCAGUUGCGGUUGCAGGCUCAGCUGCUAUUUACAUCUCUCUCUCUAUCCUCCUCAUAGCAGCUCUGUGUGCAUGCGAUUAUAGACGAUUCCUAAAGAGAUUAAGGCUGAACAGCAAAGUGAUGACAAAGCUCUCCCAAAAUCAGCUCCAAACUGCCCACUCUUAAUGCCGAGAGUGAGCUUAUGGUUGAGUGAGUCUGAUGCAGUACCAGCGUAAUAAUUUAUAGUUGAAAGUUGCAUAAUUAUAUAUAGAUCUAUGCAUCACAAGGACGGACGAAGCGAGGGACAAGGCUCCAAGUCCAAACUGUCCACUCUUAAUGAGAGUGAGCUUACGGUGGUAUGCAGUACCAGCGUAAUAAUUGUUGUCAUGAAAGUUUGUAUAUGCAUCACAGGAUGGACGAAGCGAGGGACAAUUAAGGCUCCCCUUCUCAUCUUAAUGGUAGUGAGCUUAUGGUGCCGGAUGGACAAAGCGAGGGACAAAGCUCUCCCAAACCAAAUGACUGUGCACUGUUUGCAGCUGCAUAUUGUACCAGCAUUGCACAUGGACUAGAUCCAUGUUCCCUCGUUUACGACCAGCAGCAAAUGAGGGACCACUUGUACAAGUGUUUCACUACAAAAACAAUGGAUCUCUUUACUGUCUUCCGAACAAAAAGACCAGGACCUGCACGCACUUUGAAAAUCCCUGUCUAUUGCUACUGUCGAUGUGCAGAUGAUGGCCAAGGAAUGGUAGGCUGUGACGGAUGUGAAGAUUGGUAGAUGCAUCAACGCCGCCAAAGUAAAAAAGGGAUUAUGGUAUUGCACCAAGUGUCGAUAAAGUAGUUAGAAUCAAUGACUUUAUAGUCAACAAGUAGUCCUUAUAAUUAUUUUAUGU